GAUAGGGCUCCUGGCGGUGGCGCGGCUCGAACGGGUCAGGGCCGAAAGGCAGCAGCCAUAAGAGAUUCGGCCACGCGCAUCAGGAGCCCUUUCUCC
Molecule: signal recognition particle RNA, 96 nt
Filed under: bacterium
Lineage: Bacteria
Description: signal recognition particle sRNA small type
Rfam family: Bacterial small signal recognition particle RNA
About the family: The signal recognition particle (SRP) is a universally conserved ribonucleoprotein involved in the co-translational targeting of proteins to membranes. Archaeal SRP consists of a 7S RNA and homologues of the eukaryotic SRP19 and SRP54 proteins.
Source: RNAcentral